AUUGAACGCUGGCGGCAGGCUUAACACAUGCAAGUCGAGCGGGGGAAGGUAGCUUGCUACCGGACCUAGCGGCGGACGGGUGAGUAAUGCUUAGGAAUCUGCCUAUUAGUGGGGGACAACAUCUCGAAAGGGAUGCUAAUACCGCAUACGUCCUACGGGAGAAAGCAGGGGAUCUUCGGACCUUGCGCUAAUAGAUGAGCCUAAGUCGGAUUAGCUAGUGGGUGGGGUAAAGGCCUACCAAGGCGACGAUCUGUAGCGGGUCUGAGAGGAUGAUCCGCCACACUGGGACUGAGACACGGCCCAGACUCCGACGGGAGGCAGCAGUGGGGAAUAUUGGACAAUGGGGGGAACCCUGAUCCAGCCAUGCCGCGUGUGUGAAGAAGGCCUUAUGGUUGUAAAGCACUUUAAGCGAGGAGGAGGCUACUUUAGUUAAUACCUAGAGAUAGUGGACGUUACUCGCAGAAUAAGCACCGGCUAACUCUGUGCCAGCAGCCGCCGUAA
This 501-nucleotide ribosomal RNA is filed under the name uncultured bacterium. Its description in RNAcentral is "partial 16S ribosomal RNA". It matches the Rfam family "Bacterial small subunit ribosomal RNA", at positions 30 to 523 of the family's 1533-position model. The record is from RNAcentral.